Molecule: ribosomal RNA, 265 nt
Filed under: Bigelowiella natans
Lineage: Eukaryota; Cercozoa; Chlorarachniophyceae
Description: partial Bacterial small subunit ribosomal RNA
Rfam family: Bacterial small subunit ribosomal RNA
Source: RNAcentral
GUGCCAGCAGCCGCGGUAAUACGGAGGGUGCAAGCGUUAAUCGGAAUUACUGGGCGUAAAGCGCGCGUAGGCGGGCUAGUAAGUUAGAGGUGAAAUCCCAGGGCUCAACCCUGGAACUGCCUUUAAUACUGCUAGUCUUGAGUUCGAGAGAGGUGAGUGGAAUUCCGAGUGUAGAGGUGAAAUUCGUAGAUAUUCGGAGGAACACCAGAGGCGAAGGCGAUGCACUGGACCGGUACUGACGCUGAGGUGCGAAAGCGUGGGGAGC